AUAUAUAUAUAUAUAUAUAUAUAUAUAUAUAUGCACACACCACAUAGAUGGAUAUGGCAUUCCAACUUCAUUGCUAUAAAAAUAUCCCUCUCAUGUGUCUGUCAUCCAUUCUUUUCUUUCUGCUGUGGAUUUUGAUUGAGUACAAUGUGCUGGCUUAACCGCUUGAAGACAAGAUGUCAGUGAAAGAACAUACCAAAUCAAGAUUGAUAUUUCUAAUGUCUAAUGCGUUUUAGUGUCUUUUUUAAAUACUCAUUGAUUUAAAUCAGUGUCGUUUUUGUAUUUAUUAAAAUGAUAAUAAAAGUAUAUUGUGAAAUAUGCAUAAAGAUUUGUGGAAUAUAAAACUUUUUUUUUCUUCUGAAGCUGUCAGAUCUGAGCAGCGAGACCAUAAGGAGAAGAUAUGAUUGAUGGUGAAAUGCCACAUCAGUGCUUCUCCAAAUUUUUUGAUUUACUCUGUGUCCUGCAUGUUCAGCACACUGCUUCUUUAAUGUUGAAAGUAAAUAAAACCAUUUUGAACAUGAGGAGUAAAACUGGUCACAACAUUCUUGUCAUUAAAAAAGUCAUUAUGGAAGGAUGGAUUUGCCUCUUUAGUUGGCUUUCUUAAUAUUGUUGGUUCUUUGUAGCCUAUGUGUGUGUUGCCUUUUUGCUAUAAAACAGGAUUAAAAAUGACAAAAAGAGAAAGUUGUUGGGUGAAGUCUUUAUGUACAGUGCAGGGUGAGAUGACACCCUAAUCCAAUGCCAUUUCUACAGUACAUUCUGCUUUUUUUCUGUGAACCACUUUCGAUAUUCCCUUGCAUGUCUUUGUCAAAACAAGAGAGUGGAUCUUGAAAAUAAACUUUUACAGCCUCAUUCCUGUAAGAUAAAUCCACAUUCUUUUUUCCUUGUACCUGGAUCAAUAUCAAAUAAAAAUAUUUUUG
Long non-coding RNA from Thalassophryne amazonica, 914 nucleotides. RefSeq lists it as uncharacterized. The transcript has 2 exons. NCBI's taxonomy places the organism in Eukaryota, Metazoa, Chordata, Actinopteri, Batrachoidiformes, Batrachoididae. The record is from RefSeq and is a predicted model, not a curated record.